CUCACGUGGUAACUCUCACGUACUUAGUACCCCAGUAACUCUCUUGCACUUAGUACUCCAGGAACUCUUGUGCACCUAGUACUCUAGUAACUCAUGUGGUGAUUCUCACUCACUUAGUACUCCAGUAACUCACGUGGUAACUCUCAUGCACUUAGUACUCCAGGAACUCUUGUGCACUUAGUACUCUAGGAACUCACAUGGUAACUCUCACACACUUAUACUCCAGUAACUCACGUGGUAACUCUCAUGCACUUAGUACUCCAGGAACUCUCGUGCACUUAGUGCUCCGGUAACUCACGUGCAGUUGGUUAGACUGCAGUUGAUCCAUCUCAUGCUGAACUCCACACACACAUCGUGACAACUCGAAGCUAAUGCUGACAUUCAAAGAACGUCAGAGGAGCGACUCCUUUUAAAAGGCGCCUGUUGGAAGGGGCUGCAUCCUGCAGUUUCCAAAGCAGUCUUCCAUCCAGGGCGCCAUUUGUGCCUGUGCAAGAAAGAUGCGGCUAACCGCAGAUAGGUGAAGUCACUGCCCGAGAGGCAGGCCAGACUCCUGCUCCUGCACCGGUGGCGGGAUCGUCGGUUGGUUUUCACUUCAUCUCACUACUCCCGAUGCCGCGUGUUCUUUCCGAAAGAGCGUAGGACCUCUACCCAAAUCAGCUGGCCGAGAGGUAGGUACGGGAUGUCAACGCCACGGUAGAAAAUAGGAUGCAGACGUGCCGAACUGCCCCGUGGGUGUAGGCAGCCAAACCCCAGCUGCAGAGACUCGCCAGGGGGAGUGCCCUGGGUUCUCUGAUGGGUAAAUUGUAAGGAAAAGAAAGAGGUGGGGCGACGACCUGAAGGUUAAAAGAAACCGAAAAGACACGUCAUUUUGGUAAAAUGAUCAAGACUAAACCGUAGCAGGUGGAUGUGCGUGGGUAGGCGAGAGAUUAUUUUUAAGACACAGGAAGUGAUUACGAUAAGGAAUAGCGGUUACUUGGGGCGGAGGGGAAUGAAACUGAUUGGGUCGGAGCACGUGAAGGGUGACUUCUGGUGACUGGCCAAGUUCUGUUUUUUUGACUUAGGUUUCAUUAAAAAGGUGCUUGCCUUAUAAUAACUUGCUGAGAUACAGAUUCGUGGUUUUCCAGAUUCUGUGCUUUUAUUUUCCCCUUAAAAGGUUUUCCAAAUUGUGUGCAGACAUCAGUGCCCCCAGUUUCCUCAUUUCUUCUUUGGUUUGGGAGAAAAAGGAAAAAGCUGAUUUUGGCUAAAAAAGGGAGACUAGGGAUGAAGUAAAAUAUCCAUCAUUUAACUCGUGGAGGGGGUGCCAGGCCCGUCAGAGCACUGAGGGAAAAUCCGCAGCAAGGAGUCGGGUUUUUAGAAGCCCCUUGUGUUCCUGCUGCAGGACUAUUUGAAUAGAGAUCCACGCUGCGGCAGGGCAGUUGAGAAAAGCGUGAAUUGUGAGCUCAGGAAGGGUUGGUGAGCACCUGCUGUGCCCUAUGGUGGGCUGGGAAGAGAGGAAAUACGAGACGGUGUGGAAUGAAAUCCUGCCUCUGUAAAGUGUUUCCUCUGGGCAAUCAAGCCAGUGGCACAGGUCAAACCCCAGUUGCCAGCCGGAGGGGGGCAGCCGGUCAGAGCCUCAGAAGUUACAGGUCCGUGCGGUUUCAGAGGCGUGCGCACAUUUGCAGCCCGAGGUCUGCAUUUGCUCAUCCUAGCGCUGCCCUUGGUGCUGGGGGACUAACUGGCUUCUCGGUCAGUUGUGACUUCCUCUGCUACCUUGGUCUAGUUGCUCUGCAAAAUGGGUCUUCUCAGGAUAUUAAGAAGACUAAUCCAUACUAAAGUGACUGUAGAUUGCUUGGCAGAAUAUCACUGGUAAUAUUGAGAGAGGCGGCUUGGUGUAGUGGUUAGGAGCACAGAUUCCAGAACCAUGUUGGCUAAGUUAAAUCCUAGCCCUGCUACAUGCCGGAUGUGUGACCCUAGGUAAGUUACCUAACGUCUCUGUGCCUCACUUCUAUUAAAAGGGGACAGCAGGGGCACCUGGGUGGUUCAGUCGGUUAAGCAUCUUGACUUUGGCUCAGGUCACGAUCUCAGUUUGUGAGUUUGAGCCCCACGUCAGGCUCUGUGCUGACAGCUCAGACCCUGGAGCCUGCUUCAGAUUCUGUGUGUCUCUCUCUCUGCCCUCCCCCGCUCAUGCUUUCUCUCUCUCUCUCUCCAAAAUAAAAACAUUAAAAAAUUUGUUAAAAAGGGACAACAAUGUUUCUGUUUUCAUGAUGAUCAGAUAAGUUAACGUUUAUCAAGGACUUAAAAUGGUAUUUGCCACUUAGAGCUUUAUAAAUGGUUACCAAGUAAACAAUAUUAAUUGUAUAUCCUCACAAAGUGCUGCACAGACAGCAUCUACCUGACUCAUACCAACCGCUCUAUGAAGUGUGUAGAUACCUUAUCACAAAGGCUAAUACAAGAUAACGAUAUUCACGAUUCCAUUGGGUGGAAUCUAGGAGAAAUGUACACUCCUCUGUCAUUACCAUGACCUUCACACAUACCUGCAUCCCACAAGCCAGUCCUCCGCUGUGUUUUUCAGCAAGUCACACCAGGGACCCUGGACAUCUGCCUCCAAAACUCUAGCACCCUUACUUUACCACUCAUCCUGCUGACGUGUAGGGGAACUGAGGGAGCCAGAAUGUCAUUACCCAGCCGGAGAUCAGCCAGGAAGCGGAGGUUGACGUUUAUUGGAUCAACUCGCAACUUCCACAAGGGAGCAGAGAGAGCUGGACGUACAGAUCUCGUCCUCCAGGCUUGCUUACAACACUGUAAAUCCAAAGGUGUGAUCAUCUGGCCCAAGCCUCUCGAUUUGUAGGCGUGAAGGUGCGACCGUGGAAGGGAGAAAGGACUCACCCAAAGUCACACAGCCAGACAUCGUCCCCUUCACGUGCCCAGCAGGCCUUUCAGGUGGAUGUUAACAAUCUUCAUUUGGUAGAUGGGAGGAUCCCCCGGGGGAAAAUAGUAGCAGGGCUGAGACCGAGACCUAACUCUGCCUAAUGCCAAAGCCCACCAAUGUGAUCCACAUUUCAGCUUUCCUCUCGGAAGCAGAUAAUAACAUUGGACCAGCCUUCAGCUGCCAGUGUUGGCUGUUCCCUAGUUACGGCAGAUUUGCUUCUAAAUUCCCCUCGCUCGUUGGUUCCCUCCCGUUCCACGCCAGGGUGACAGGCCCACGUUUGCAGGUUGGAGUGGUAUCUUGCCAGGACCCAGUGACACCAGCACCGUUGUAAACCCCUAGAUCCCAGUAGCGUCCUGGUGGGGGCUUUGAAUCACGAGUCCUGAU
Molecule: long non-coding RNA, 3292 nt
Organism: Leopardus geoffroyi (Geoffroy's cat)
Lineage: Eukaryota; Metazoa; Chordata; Mammalia; Carnivora; Felidae
Exons: 2
Source: RefSeq, a predicted model, not a curated record